RNAcentral lists this transfer RNA (77 nucleotides) under Polycladospora coralii. RNAcentral describes it as "tRNA-Met". It matches the Rfam family "tRNA". Rfam says of the family: Transfer RNA (tRNA) molecules are approximately 80 nucleotides in length. The record is from RNAcentral. Lineage: Bacteria; Bacillati; Bacillota; Bacilli; Caryophanales; Thermoactinomycetaceae.
GGCGGUGUAGCUCAGCUGGCUAGAGCGUACGGUUCAUACCCGUGAGGUCAGGGGUUCGAGCCCCUUCACCGCUACCA